Molecule: ribosomal RNA, 370 nt
Filed under: uncultured organism
Description: partial 16S ribosomal RNA
Rfam family: Bacterial small subunit ribosomal RNA
Source: RNAcentral
GUAGGGUGCGAGCGUUAAUCGGAAUUACUGGGCGUAAAGCGUGCGCAGGCGGUUAUGUAAGACAGAUGUGAAAUCCCCGGGCUCAACCUGGGAACUGCAUUUGUGACUGCAUGGCUAGAGUACGGUAGAGGGGGAUGGAAUUCCGCGUGUAGCAGUGAAAUGCGUAGAUAUGCGGAGGAACACCGAUGGCGAAGGCAAUCCCCUGGACCUGUACUGACGCUCAUGCACGAAAGCGUGGGGAGCAAACAGGAUUAGAUACCCUGGUAGUCCCACGCCCUAAACGAUGUCAACUGGUUGUUGGGAAUUAGUUUUCUCAGUAACGAAGCUAACGCGUGAAGUUGACCGCCUGGGGAGUACGGCCGCAAGGUUG